CCUAGGGAGGCUGCAGUGGGGAAUAUUGGACAAUGGGCGAAAGCCUGAUCCAGCCAUGCCGCGUGUGUGAAGAAGGCCUUCGGGUUGUAAAGCACUUUCAGUGGGGAAGAAAGCCUUGGGGCUAAUACCCUCGAGGAAGGACAUCACCCACAGAAGAAGCACCGGCUAACUCCGUGCCAGCAGCCGCGGUAAUACGGAGGGUGCGAGCGUUAAUCGGAAUUACUGGGCGUAAAGCGCGCGUAGGCGGUCUGAUAAGCCGGUUGUGAAAGCCCCGGGCUCAACCUGGGAACGGCAUCCGGAACUGUUAGGCUAGAGUGCAGGAGAGGAAGGUAGAAUUCCCGGUGUAGCGGUGAAAUGCGUAGAGAUCGGGAGGAAUACCAGUGGCGAAGGCGGCCUUCUGGACUGACACUGACGCUGAGGUGCGAAAGCGUGGGUAGCAAACAGGAUUAGAUACCCCGGUAGUC
This 464-nucleotide ribosomal RNA is filed under the name Vreelandella stevensii. RNAcentral's name for it is "partial 16S ribosomal RNA". It matches the Rfam family "Bacterial small subunit ribosomal RNA", at positions 338 to 795 of the family's 1533-position model. Lineage: Bacteria; Pseudomonadati; Pseudomonadota; Gammaproteobacteria; Oceanospirillales; Halomonadaceae. The record is from RNAcentral.